AAGAGAAGAAUGUAACGCGGGUCAUUUAACGUUUGAAUGGACCCCGGUUGUGGAAUAUUGUUCUUGAAGAAAUGUUAUGAAGAGUGAUGAACCUUUGUGUGCAACGAACCUAGCUCCUUUUGGUAACAAGCUGCCAGCGAGUUUUCACGGGACGAAGCUGAAUAAAGAACGCCCUGUAGUUUAAAA
This is a long non-coding RNA of Scatophagus argus, 186 nucleotides long. RefSeq lists it as uncharacterized. The transcript is spliced from 2 exons. The record is from RefSeq and is a predicted model, not a curated record. NCBI's taxonomy places the organism in Eukaryota, Metazoa, Chordata, Actinopteri, Scatophagidae.